RNAcentral lists this ribosomal RNA (211 nucleotides) under uncultured bacterium. Its description in RNAcentral is "partial 16S ribosomal RNA". It matches the Rfam family "Bacterial small subunit ribosomal RNA", at positions 524 to 734 of the family's 1533-position model. The record is from RNAcentral.
UACGAAGGGGGCUAGCGUUGCUCGGAAUCACUGGGCGUAAAGCGCACGUAGGCGGCGCGGUAAGUCGGGUGUGAAAUCUCGGAGCUUAACUCCGAAACUGCAUUCGAUACUGCCGUGCUUGAGGACUGGAGAGGAGACUGGAAUUCACGGUGUAGCAGUGAAAUGCGUAGAUAUCGUGAGGAAGACCAGUGGCGAAGGCGGGUCUCUGGAC